RNAcentral lists this small nuclear RNA (325 nucleotides) under Octodon degus (degu). Its description in RNAcentral is "7SK RNA (ENSODEG00000024716.1)". It matches the Rfam family "7SK RNA". Rfam says of the family: 7SK was discovered as an abundant small nuclear RNA in the mid-70s but a possible function has only recently been suggested. Two independent studies have found that 7SK RNA binds the CDK9/cyclin T complex (known as elongation factor P-TEFb). Lineage: Eukaryota; Metazoa; Chordata; Mammalia; Rodentia; Octodontidae. The record is from RNAcentral.
GGAUGUGAGGGCGAUCUGACUAUAACAUCUAUCACCCCAUUGACCACCAGGGCUGAUUUGGCUCCUUCCGCAGUGCUCCAUGUGUCCCUCCUGAAGCUGUGCGCUGGAUCAAAGAGGAUGACAACCCCCGAUAGAGGAGGAUCAUUCCUAGGCAGGGCUAGGUAAGUAGCUGCUCUCCCCUUGCAGAACCCCCAAACAAGCUCUCAGAAUGACCGUGAAAAGUGAAAUUUUUCUAUUGAUUCAAGACAUUGAGGCAGCCAGGACAGAACAAAGGAGAGCACUCACAAAAUCACUUUGUACUUGCAUCAGCAUGUGGCAGGAGUGA